This 496-nucleotide ribosomal RNA is filed under the name uncultured bacterium. Its description in RNAcentral is "partial 16S ribosomal RNA". It matches the Rfam family "Bacterial small subunit ribosomal RNA", at positions 28 to 506 of the family's 1533-position model. The record is from RNAcentral.
GAUGAACGCUGGCGGCGUGCCUAAUACAUGCAAGUCGAGCGAACGGGCGAGAAGCUUGCUUUUCUGAUGUUAGCGGCGGACGGGUGAGUAACACGUGGAUAACCUACCUAUAAGACUGGGAUAACUUCGGGAAACCGGAGCUAAUACCGGAUAAUAUUUUGAACCGCAUGGUUCAAAAGUGAAAGACGGUCUUGCUGUCACUUAUAGAUGGAUCCGCGCUGCAUUAGCUAGUUGGUAAGGUAACGGCUUACCAAGGCAACGAUGCAUAGCCGACCUGAGAGGGUGAUCGGCCACACUGGAACUGAGACACGGUCCAGACUCCUACGGGAGGCAGCAGUAGGGAAUCUUCCGCAAUGGGCGAAAGCCUGACGGAGCAACGCCGCGUGAGUGAUGAAGGUCUUCGGAUCGUAAAACUCUGUUAUUAGGGAAGAACAUAUGUGUAAGUAACUGUGCACAUCUUGACGGUACCUAAUCAGAAAACCACGGCUAACUACGU